Long non-coding RNA from Dama dama (fallow deer), 1847 nucleotides. RefSeq lists it as uncharacterized. The record is from RefSeq and is a predicted model, not a curated record. The transcript is spliced from 3 exons. NCBI's taxonomy places the organism in Eukaryota, Metazoa, Chordata, Mammalia, Artiodactyla, Cervidae.
CCCAGUUCCCUCUGACUUCUGCAGGAUGGCUCAUCACCAGGGAACCUAUGGCUCCUACAAGAUGAAGGCACCAAUUCAGAAACAGGCCACCCUGAACUCAAACUCUGUUAAUCAGCUUCCUUUGCUGGCUUCUCCAGGGACUGAGCUAAGGUGUCCAUGAGCUCCUAUACGAAAGGCUCUGGAAAGGUUGCCAGACACUUUUACAACAAUUUUGCCAGGUCACAUCUUCCAGGAAGAUCUUGUCUCUCCACCGAAGACCCUGGCCCAACCUCCUGCAGUGCCAUGCUCCGUGUAUUUGACAAGCUGAGUUGGACACUCCAUGUAGUAGUGUCAGUUUGUCAAAUACCCCAAGUGUGGCAUAUGCCUAGCAACUCCAGGCUGGGACACUUGAGAUACAACAGAAGAGAGACAGUUGGAUACAAGAACACUCAGCAAAUACCAACUAAGUUCUCAGAAGUUAUUUUCGGUGACUUUGAGGGAAAUAAACCAUUAUAUGUGAAGGUGUGGGAGAAAAAUGAAACAGCUCUGCUACACACAGUGGGAGCCCUAGGGGGACACAAUAGUCUUGAAAAGGCAUUUGGGCAUGUUCAAGGGAUGUAAGUGUUCUUUGAUUCAUACUUUCUUCCUUCACAUUCCCCUUCCUGAGCCACCUAGCAAGGACAUCAGGACUUAGGCACUCAGUUUCUUGACACUUAAUCUUGACUUCUAAACACACUUUGACCUCACUUAUCUCUCUCCUUUUCCUCAUGGUCUUUCUCCUCCUGGGAACAGCUUCUUUAUUUCUCUCUUCUCUUCCAAUUCUUUCCCAUACUUCCUGGUCCAGCCAAAGUCCUUACCUCCAAAGACUUUUGAAAGUUAACUUAUAUUCUUUCCUGCUUUGUUCUUCAACACACUCCUUGCCUGGUUGCUUGUAUGUACCCAUUUAUCUCUUACUGCCCAAUGGUACCUUUUGAAUUGUUAGUGAACUUCUAAGGGAGGUAAUUUUUAAUCCCCCACUAGAUUGUGAACUCCUAGAGAACAAUACUCUUUGUGUGAUUGCUCUCUCCCCAUUCCAUCCCUACUCCAACCUCAGCACAGUACUCUAGUUACAGAAAAUACUUACUAAAUGCUUAUUGAUUAAAAUGCUUUCCACUAGUCCCUUAGCUUUGGGCCUUUGGGUCAAAUGCUACCCAAGAAUUUUGUGAAAAAGCAAUUAAAUUUUGGUAACCACAAUGCUAUAGGGUGUGUGAGGUAAUUGCCAAGAUGGGGGGUUUUAUCCCUGAGAAACAAGGUCAAGAGUCAGAGGAGGGAGGGAAAAAAAGUAGACUCAGGGAGCAAGUAAGUUUUGGAAUCACUUGGUAGCAAAAAGGUAUAUAGAUACUUCAUUGCAGGAUUUUUCAGAAACUUUAGUAUUGAAAUAUUGCUUUGUAAAUCUCCAAGAGAGAGUGAUAGAGUAAAACAUUUCCCAUGCCUAUCUGAUUAUGGAAAUUUUUUUCUGUAGGCCAUUUCCUGGAUCUUGUAUUUCAUGGAACAAAAUCUGAGAAACUACCUUAGAGGAACUUUAUAUUUUUCCUCUCUUCUGGAGAUCUUGUCUUUUUCCCAACCAGUUACUUGCCUAAGACAGGUCCAAUGUUAUCACAUCAUUUUUGUUUAGUCUAUACUGUAUAUUUGGACUAGGUCUAUACUUAGGACUUUCUUACUGACUUAUUUUGUAUGUAAAAUAUUAUCAGGUUUUGGACAGAGAUGAUCUCUGGAAGUUUCCUGCUGUAAUAUAGAUAUGAUCCUAGGUCUGUAAUUUUAUCUUUUGUGUGACAUUUAUCUUUUGUAAUAUCCAUGUUAACUGGCAUCAUUAAAAUAAUUUAGAUGUU